UAGAGAAAAAGGACUCGAACCUGAAACUGAGAAAUCAAACCCUCUGUUAUACCAUUUCACUAU
RNAcentral lists this transfer RNA (63 nucleotides) under Brachycephalus ephippium (pumpkin toadlet). Its description in RNAcentral is "partial tRNA-Gln". The record is from RNAcentral. Lineage: Eukaryota; Metazoa; Chordata; Amphibia; Anura; Brachycephalidae.